This is a non-coding RNA of Pelobates cultripes (western spadefoot toad), 329 nucleotides long. The record is from the annotation of a GenBank genome assembly. Lineage: Eukaryota; Metazoa; Chordata; Amphibia; Anura; Pelobatidae.
UAAAAUAAAUAGCAUUUAACACUUUUACACCAAUUUAACCAACCAAGAAAGGUAUGAUGUAUUUUUUGCCACAGGAGGAUUUCUGCUUUCCUGGUAACUAGAUUGGCAGUGACUUCUCUUUGUGUCUCAGAGACUUUUUCUCAACAGCCCUCACAAUUGCAUGGCAAAAGGUUAGGAGGUCACAUUAGAAUUAAAGAUAACCAUGAAAGGUUGAUCUACUACCAAACUGUAAAGAUGCAACUCACUACAUUAUAAAUUAUAUAGCAUAUAGUUGAAAACGUUUCAUCACCCUUAAAUGGAUCAUCAAACAAUUUAAUGCUAUAUGGCCA